This is an RNA transcript of Cucurbita maxima (winter squash), 1201 nucleotides long. It is a transcript of the gene named U11/U12 small nuclear ribonucleoprotein 25 kDa protein-like, with no coding region annotated. The transcript has 5 exons. The record is from RefSeq and is a predicted model, not a curated record. NCBI's taxonomy places the organism in Eukaryota, Viridiplantae, Streptophyta, Magnoliopsida, Cucurbitales, Cucurbitaceae.
AAUAUUUUGACCAAUAAAACAAAGUCAAAAGGGUUGUCGUUUUCAGGUUCUCUGAUAACUGUUUCCCGCUUUCACAGCGAAACCAACGAACAAGCCAGAAAGGCUUUUUCUGUUACGCCCUCAUUUCGUGUUUUCCGAACCCUAGACCUGACUGAAAAUCGCAUUAAGAGUUCAAGACUCUGCUCUUCCCAAAUCAAUACUUGAAAAUCCACCAUUCAUCCUUCUACUACCUGAAUUCUGUACUGCAGGUCCAUUCAUGCCUCGCAUUGAACCGAAUAUUCCGGAUUCAUGUUGUAUCUCGCCUCGGUUUCGGAGCAACAGUUUUCGUCGGAGUCUUCGCUACCAGAGGCUUCCGUCGCGGCUCCUUCACCUCUCCGUCUUGAAAUUGGACGGUUCUUCCUUCGAGGUGCAAGUUGCGAGGAAAGCGUCUGUGGCAAAGCUUAGAGAGGCGGUGGAGAGUGUUUUCUGUGGAAUGUUGAUGAAUAGAGAAGAUGUCAAGAUUUCAUGGCCACAUGUGUGGAGUCAUUUUUGCUUAUGCUAUAAACAUUACAAGCUGAUCGACGAGAAAUCGCGUAUCAAACGCUUUGGAAUCAGGGAUGGUGAUCUGCUGCAUUUUGUGAACCGUAUAGCUUAAUUUUCGCCAAGAAUCAGUGGAUUUGAGAUGGCCCAAAAGAAUGUAUGGAUAGAGGAAUAUAGGCAGGCUGGUUGAAUGGCUUCUGGUAUAAACUUGUCAGAAGUUUUUGGGUGUGAAUUAUUGUGAAGUGGUCAGAUGGUUCUUUUUUUUUUUUUUCAUUUUUUUCUUGAUUUUUUACGUUCCUGAUGCUAAAUUUGAAGCCUUGGUUUAUAUAUAUAUAACAAGAUGAACUACAUUUCGUUUGUGCCACAUAAGACUUCACUUUCCUUUCGUCCAAUCCAAAAAUGAAGUCCAUUAGUUCAGCCUCUAAGGAGAAUCUGAGAGGAUGAAUGCCAUUAUUGCCCGACCAACUUGAUGUUAUGGGGAGUGCAAGCUCUACAGUGUGAAGCUAUGAACUUUGAAGAUUUUCAGCUGAGAUUAUAUGUUUCUGUGGCCUUAAUUUAUGCACUUAGAAAAUUAUUUUGUCUUGUAAGUUGAGACUUGGAAAGAAUUCAUAAAUUUUAAUGCUUUAAUAAUUUCUUUAUUAAAUAAAUCGUUGCCUAAAAAGUUUAGGCUUUUAAACAUGAA